RNAcentral lists this small RNA (28 nucleotides) under Bombyx mori (domestic silkworm). RNAcentral describes it as "ovarian small RNA-19046". The record is from RNAcentral. Lineage: Eukaryota; Metazoa; Arthropoda; Insecta; Lepidoptera; Bombycidae.
UAACUGUGCGCUUGUUGAUGGCUAAGAG